UACGGGAGGCAGCAGUGGGGAAUAUUGCACAAUGAGCGCAAGCCUGAUGCAGCCAUGCCGCGUGUAUGAAGAAGGCCUUCGGGUUGUAAAGUACUUUCAGUCGUGAGGAAGGUGUUAAGGUUAAUAACCUUAGCAAUUGACGUUAGCGACAGAAGAAGCACCGGCUAACUCCGUGCCAGCAGCCGCGGUAAUACGGAGGGUGCGAGCGUUAAUCGGAAUUACUGGGCGUAAAGGGCACGCAGGCGGUUAAUUAAGUUGGAUGUGAAAUCCCCGGGCUUAACCUGGGAAUGGCAUUCAAGACUGGUUAGCUAGAGUCUUGUAGAGGGGGUUAGAAUUCCAUGUGUAGCGGUGAAAUGCGUAGAGAUGUGGAGGAAUACCGGUGGCGAAGGCGGCCCCUGGGACAAAGGACUGACGCUCAUGUGCGAAAGCGUGGGGAGCAAACAGGAUUAGAUACC
RNAcentral lists this ribosomal RNA (455 nucleotides) under uncultured bacterium. RNAcentral describes it as "bacterial SSU rRNA". It matches the Rfam family "Bacterial small subunit ribosomal RNA", at positions 340 to 786 of the family's 1533-position model. The record is from RNAcentral.